GAAGUUUGGACCGUGUCUCAGUUCCAAUGUGGCCGAUCACCCUCUCAGGUCGGCUACUGAUCGUCACCUUGGUGAGCCGUUACCUCACCAACUAGUUAAUCAGACGCAGGCCCAUCCUUAGCCGAUAAAUCUUUGGCUUUUAAGACAUGUGACUCAAAAGCAUUAUGAGGUUUUAAUCAUCGUUUCCAAUGGCUAUCCCUCUGCUAAGGGCAGGUUGCCUACGCGUUACUCACCCGUCCGCCGCUUUCCUCUAUUUCUCUUUGACGAAUCGCUGAUCAAUAGAUUCUCGCUCGACUUGCAUGUGUUAAGCCUGUAGCUAGCGUUCAUC
RNAcentral lists this ribosomal RNA (328 nucleotides) under uncultured Clostridiaceae bacterium. RNAcentral's name for it is "partial 16S ribosomal RNA". Lineage: Bacteria; Bacillati; Bacillota; Clostridia; Eubacteriales; Clostridiaceae. The record is from RNAcentral.